GUGGGUAUAGCUGAAUGGCAGAGGGUGUGCUUAGCAUGCAUGAGGUCCUGGGAUCAAUCCCCAGUGUCUCCA
RNAcentral lists this transfer RNA (72 nucleotides) under Camelus bactrianus (Bactrian camel). It matches the Rfam family "tRNA". From Rfam's summary of the family: Transfer RNA (tRNA) molecules are approximately 80 nucleotides in length. Their secondary structure includes four short double-helical elements and three loops (D, anti-codon, and T loops). The record is from Rfam by way of RNAcentral. RNAcentral also lists the same sequence under 2 other names. Lineage: Eukaryota; Metazoa; Chordata; Mammalia; Artiodactyla; Camelidae.